Molecule: ribosomal RNA, 1346 nt
Filed under: uncultured bacterium
Lineage: Bacteria
Description: bacterial SSU rRNA
Rfam family: Bacterial small subunit ribosomal RNA
Source: RNAcentral
GACGAACGCUGGCGGCGUGCUUAACACAUGCAAGUCGAACGGAAAGGCCCUGCUUUUGUGGGGUGCUCGAGUGGCGAACGGGUGAGUAACACGUGAGUAACCUGCCCUUGACUUUGGGAUAACUUCAGGAAACUGGGGCUAAUACCGGAUAGGAGCUCCUGCUGCAUGGUGGGGGUUGGAAAGUUUCGGCGGUUGGGGAUGGACUCGCGGCUUAUCAGCUUGUUGGUGGGGUAGUGGCUUACCAAGGCUUUGACGGGUAGCCGGCCUGAGAGGGUGACCGGCCACAUUGGGACUGAGAUACGGCCCAGACUCCUACGGGAGGCAGCAGUGGGGAAUAUUGCACAAUGGGCGGAAGCCUGAUGCAGCAACGCCGCGUGCGGGAUGACGGCCUUCGGGUUGUAAACCGCUUUCGCCUGUGACGAAGCGUGAGUGACGGUAAUGGGUAAAGAAGCACCGGCUAACUACGUGCCAGCAGCCGCGGUGAUACGUAGGGUGCGAGCGUUGUCCGGAUUUAUUGGGCGUAAAGGGCUCGUAGGUGGUUGAUCGCGUCGGAAGUGUAAUCUUGGGGCUUAACCCUGAGCGUGCUUUCGAUACGGGUUGACUUGAGGAAGGUAGGGGAGAGUGGAAUUCCUGGUGGAGCGGUGGAAUGCGCAGAUAUCAGGAGGAACACCAGUGGCGAAGGCGGUUCUCUGGGCCUUUCCUGACGCUGAGGAGCGAAAGCGUGGGGAGCGAACAGGCUUAGAUACCCUGGUAGUCCACGCUGUAAACGGUGGGUACUAGGUGUGGGGUCCAUUCCACGGGUUCCGUGCCGUAGCUAACGCUUUAAGUACCCCGCCUGGGGAGUACGGCCGCAAGGCUAAAACUCAAAGGAAUUGACGGGGCCCCGCACAAGCGGCGGAGCAUGCGGAUUAAUUCGAUGCAACGCGUAGAACCUUACCUGGGUUUGACAUGGAUCGGGAGCGCUCAGAGAUGGGUGUGCCUCUUUUGGGGUCGGUUCACAGGUGGUGCAUGGCUGUCGUCAGCUCGUGUCGUGAGAUGUUGGGUUAAGUCCCGCAACGAGCGCAACCCUUGUUCACUGUUGCCAGCACGUUAUGGUGGGGACUCAGUGGAGACCGCCGGGGUCAACUCGGAGGAAGGUGGGGAUGACGUCAAGUCAUCAUGCCCCUUAUGUCCAGGGCUUCACGCAUGCUACAAUGGCUGGUACAGAGAGUGGCGAGCCUGUGAGGGUGAGCGAAUCUCGGAAAGCCGGUCUCAGUUCGGAUUGGGGUCUGCAACUCGACCUCAUGAAGUCGGAGUCGCUAGUAAUCGCAGAUCAGCAACGCUGCGGUGAAUACGUUCCCGGGGCU